AACGGCCGCGGUACCCUAACCGUGCGAAGGUAGCAUAAUCACUUGUUCUUUAAAUGAGGACUUGUAUCAAUGGCAUCACGAGGGUUAUACUGUCUCCUUUUUCCAAUCAGUGAAACUGAUCUUUCCGUGAAGAAGCGGAAAUUUUUCUAUAAGACGAGAAGACCCCAUGGAGCUUAAAACCUAAGUGCACUCCUAUUAACUACUUCCACUUAAAUUAUGGAUUUUUGUAUACUUGGUUUUAGGUUGGGGUGACCGCGGAGCAUAACCUAGCCUCCACGAUGAAUAGGACUACCUCCUUAUCUAAGAGCCACACCUCUAAGAACUAGCAUUCUAACAUAAAAUGAUCCGACAAUCGAUCAACGAACAAAGUUACCCUGGGGAUAACAGCGCAAUCCACUUCAAGAGCCCCUAUCGCCAAGUGGGUUUACGACCUCGAUGUUGGAUCAGGGUAUCCUAGUGGUGCAGCAGCUACUAAAGGUUCGUUUGUUCAACGAUUAAAACCCU
RNAcentral lists this ribosomal RNA (504 nucleotides) under Mantella betsileo. Its description in RNAcentral is "partial large subunit ribosomal RNA". It matches the Rfam family "Bacterial large subunit ribosomal RNA", at positions 1926 to 2597 of the family's 2925-position model. Lineage: Eukaryota; Metazoa; Chordata; Amphibia; Anura; Mantellidae. The record is from RNAcentral.